Molecule: long non-coding RNA, 1450 nt
Organism: Corvus hawaiiensis (hawaiian crow)
Lineage: Eukaryota; Metazoa; Chordata; Aves; Passeriformes; Corvidae
Exons: 4
Source: RefSeq, a predicted model, not a curated record
UCAGUGCCUAGGGGCGAAAGCAAAGCCAUUUGCACAUUUUGGUGUCCCUUCCCAUGGCAGGGGGUUGGAUCUGGAUGAUCUUUAAGGUCCCUUCUGACCACAACCAUUCUGUGAUUUCCUCCUCUGCACUUUGGAUUUACAGCUGUGCUUGUGCUGAAGGCACUGAUGGGGAGCUCAGCCUUCCUUCUCUCCACAGCCAUGGUGGGGAACCAGCAUCUCUGCUGUCAGCAGAGUUCUCACCAAGCAGCAGGACGGGCAGGAUGGAGCUCAAAGUCAAAUAUGCAGCACAGAAGUUGAAGAUGGUGUUGGUCCAUGCCCAGCAGGGAGGAUCUUGGUCUCCUGAAGCCACUACAAGAUGCUCAACUCCCCGUGGCUGCAGGACAAAGGGCCGUUCAUCACACUCCAAAGUGCUGCAAAAGGCUCCCGUGUUCCACCGGAGAAGUGUCUGCAUUUGAAUCCAAGCGAGAAAGUUUUCUUCUGUGCUCCAGGCCGCUCUGGAGGGUAAUGGAGCUUGGCACUGCUUUUUAGGAUCCUUUUGGGUGAGAUAGAGGGGCAAGGACCUUGUCACGAGCUGCUCAGGCUCCAGCAAAUCUGGGAAAGAAAUUUGUGAAGCUGGAUCCAGGGCAAUAGUACCUUUGGUGGCUAAACCAAGCUGGUUUUCUAUUGAUUUAAAGCAAGUCAUCCUAAUUACAGCCUGUCCCUCCUGAAUUUCUCCAGCCCUUGCAGUGAAGAUCUACUUCAUUCACCAUUUCCAAACUUCAAGUUUUGGGUACCAUUAUCUGUCAUUUCUGCUUCUAAAAGGACUCUGCAGACUGGGAGUUUGGGAGCAUUCUCCAGCCCCCUAUAGAUUUUGUUAUGUAUUAUCCCUUCCAUAAAAGAAUCAAGGUGGUGGUCAGGCCCUGAAAUGCUUGACUAUUUACUGAAGGAAAUUAAAAACUGCAGCAAAUAAGAUUUGAUGUCUUAGGGGCUGGAAAAAAAGAGGGAAGGGUGUGUGUCCAUGUGUUCCACAUGUACAGGUUCAUGUUUCCUACAAGGUGAAGGAAAGCCCCAUUUGUAGCAUGUGCCUGUGGUUAUUGUAUUUGCUUCAAACUUACCACAUGAGGCCUAAAUGAGGUUGUCAAUAAAAUAUUCUAUGGUGGGCAUGUAAGGCAGCAGUGAUUUGUGUUUUACGAAAUGAUCCGAGGAGCAGAGAGGAGGUAGGUUUUGUCCAUCUGGCACACCCUGAUGAACGGUGGAGAGGCUGCUUUGCCCCAGUUUUCAGAGGGAAAUGCUUGAAGAUGCCCUUGAAGAUGCUCUGCUCCUGUCCUGGUACCCAGGUGCUAAAGGUCAGGAGAGACACUGGUAGGGGCUCAGCUCCUUGAAAAAUUAUCUUGCUUAUUUAUGUGAUGGCAAGGGAGAAGUUUGUGUUUAGAGGCCAGUGAAUUAAUAAAUUAGAAAACAAAAAAUCAAA